RNAcentral lists this ribosomal RNA (253 nucleotides) under uncultured bacterium. Its description in RNAcentral is "partial 16S ribosomal RNA". It matches the Rfam family "Bacterial small subunit ribosomal RNA", at positions 524 to 776 of the family's 1533-position model. The record is from RNAcentral.
UACGGAGGGGGCUAGCGUUGUUCGGAAUUACUGGGCGUAAAGCGCGCGUAGGCGGAUCUGCAAGUCGGGGGUGAAAUCCCGAGGCUCAACCUCGGAACUGCCUUCGAUACUGCAGGUCUCGAGUCCGGGAGAGGUGAGUGGAAUUCCUAGUGUAGAGGUGAAAUUCGUAGAUAUUAGGAAGAACACCAGUGGCGAAGGCGGCUCACUGGCCCGGUACUGACGCUGAGGCGCGAAAGCGUGGGGAGCAAACAGG